GUGGGGAAUAUUGGGCAAUGGGCGAAAGCCUGACCCAGCAACGCCGCGUGAAGGAAGAAGGUUUUCGGAUCGUAAACUUCUAUCCUUGGUGAAGAUAAUGACGGUAGCCAAGAAGGAAGCCCCGGCUAACUACGUGCCAGCAGCCGCGGUAAUACGUAGGGGGCAAGCGUUGUCCGGAAUGAUUGGGCGUAAAGGGCGCGUAGGCGGCCUUGUAAGUCUGAAGUGAAAGUCCUGCUUUUAAGGUGGGAAUUGCUUUGGAUACUGUCGGGCUUGAGUGCAGGAGAGGUAAGCGGAAUUCCCGGUGUAGCGGUGAAAUGCGUAGAGAUCGGGAGGAACACCAGUGGCGAGAGCGGCUUACUGGACUGUAACUGACGCUGAGGCGCGAAAGUGUGGGGAGCAAACAGGAUUAGAAACCCCGGUAGUCC
RNAcentral lists this ribosomal RNA (425 nucleotides) under uncultured bacterium. Its description in RNAcentral is "partial 16S ribosomal RNA". It matches the Rfam family "Bacterial small subunit ribosomal RNA", at positions 354 to 796 of the family's 1533-position model. The record is from RNAcentral.